Molecule: ribosomal RNA, 1241 nt
Filed under: marine metagenome
Description: bacterial LSU rRNA
Rfam family: Bacterial large subunit ribosomal RNA
Source: RNAcentral
GUAUAUUUAGGCGCUUGAGAGAAUGAUGUUGAAGGAACUCGGCAAAAUGCUUCCGUAACUUCGGAAUAAGGAAGACCUUUAUUUAGGCAACUAUUUGAAGGUGACACAAGCCAGGGAGAAGCGACUGUUUAUCAAAAACACAGGGCUCUGCUAACACGUAAGUGGAUGUAUAGGGUCUGACGCCUGCCCGGUGCUGGAAGGUUAAUGCGAUGGGUGCAAGCUCAUUUCUGAAGCCCCAGUAAACGGCGGCCGUAACUAUAACGGUCCUAAGGUAGCGAAAUUCCUUGUCGGGUAAGUUCCGACCUGCACGAAUGGUGUAACGAUUUGAGUACUGUCUCAACCAGAGACUCGGCGAAAUUGCAAUGUGAGUAAAGAUGCUCACUAUGCGCGACAGGACGGAAAGACCCCGGAACCUUUACUGCAACUUGAUAUUGAAUGUUGGUAUGCAGUAUGCAGGAUAAGUGGGAGACUUUGAAACAAUGGCGCUAGUCAUUGUGGAGUCAACCUUGAGAUACCACUUUCUUCAUAUUGACCUUCUAACCUAGAUCCGUUAUCCGGAUCAGGGACAUUGUCUGGUAGGCAGUUUCACUGGGGCGGUGGCCUCCUAAAAAGUAACGGAGGCGCUCUAAGGUCACCUCAGCGUGGACGGCAAUCACGCAUCGAGUGUAAGUGCAAAAGGUGGCUUGACUGUGACACAAACAAGUGGAGCAGGUACGAAAGUAGGAACUAGUGAUCCCAUGGUUGCAUGUGGGUGCGCCAUGGCUCAUCGGCUAAAAGGUACUCCGGGGAUAACAGGCUUAUACCCCCCAAGAGUCCAUAUCGACGGGGGUGUUUGGCACCUCGAUGUCGGCUCUUCUCAUCCUGGGGCUGGAGCAGGUCCCAAGGGUUAGGCUGUUCGCCUAUUAAAGAGGAACGCGAGCUGGGUUCAGAACGUCGUGAGACAGUUCGGUCCCUAUCCGUCGCGCACGUAAGAAAUUUGAAGAAAGUUGUCCCUAGUACGAGAGGACCGGGAUGAACGAUCCGCUGGUGUGCCAGUUGUUCUGCCAAGAGCACGGCUGGUUAGCUACGAUCGGAAAGGAUAAGCACUGAAAGCAUCUAAGUGCGAAGCCCCUUCUAAGAUAAGAUUUCUCAUCGGGUUAACCGAUUAAGACUCCUUAUAGAACAUGAGGUUGAUAGGUCAGAAGUGUAAGUACAGUAAUGUAUGUAGCUGACUGAUACUAAUAAGUCGAGGGCUUGAGCUG